This 522-nucleotide ribosomal RNA is filed under the name uncultured bacterium. RNAcentral's name for it is "bacterial SSU rRNA". It matches the Rfam family "Bacterial small subunit ribosomal RNA", at positions 777 to 1297 of the family's 1533-position model. The record is from RNAcentral.
AAUAGAUACCCCGGUAGUCCACGCCGUAAACGAUGAGUGCUAAGUGUUAGAGGGUUUCCGCCCUUUAGUGCUGCAGCUAACGCAUUAAGCACUCCGCCUGGGGAGUACGGUCGCAAGACUGAAACUCAAAGGAAUUGACGGGGGCCCGCACAAGCGGUGGAGCAUGUGGUUUAAUUCGAAGCAACGCGAAGAACCUUACCAGGUCUUGACAUCCUCUGACAACUCUAGAGAUAGAGCGUUCCCCUUCGGGGGACAGAGUGACAGGUGGUGCAUGGUUGUCGUCAGCUCGUGUCGUGAGAUGUUGGGUUAAGUCCCGCAACGAGCGCAACCCUUGAUCUUAGUUGCCAGCAUUUAGUUGGGCACUCUAAGGUGACUGCCGGUGACAAACCGGAGGAAGGUGGGGAUGACGUCAAAUCAUCAUGUCCCUUAUGACCUGGGCUACACACGUGCUACAAUGGAUGGUACAAAGGGCUGCAAGCCGCGAGGUCAAGCCAAUCCCAUAAAACCCAUUCUCAGUUCGGA